Cinara cedri is the source of this 202-nucleotide non-coding RNA. The record is from the annotation of a GenBank genome assembly. NCBI's taxonomy places the organism in Eukaryota, Metazoa, Arthropoda, Insecta, Hemiptera, Aphididae.
UUGAAUUCCUUAGUACGUAGAAAAAACGAGAAUGUAAGCGUUUUAAGUUCAAACUUCUCACAAAAUCAUAAAAAUCACGGAAUUUCAAAAGGCAUUUUAUGUUUAACAGAACUUCGUUUAGAAUAAUUGUUUUAGAUUCUGAACCUAGCAAAGAAGCUAUUAUUAGUUUUAUUAAAAAAGGUUUUUAUCUCAGGAAAUAAUU